Long non-coding RNA from Haliotis rufescens (red abalone), 256 nucleotides. RefSeq lists it as uncharacterized. The record is from RefSeq and is a predicted model, not a curated record. The transcript is spliced from 2 exons. Lineage: Eukaryota; Metazoa; Mollusca; Gastropoda; Lepetellida; Haliotidae.
UGGAUAUCUUCAUCGACAUCUGUAUGUACGGACUACAGAGCCACGCAUGGAACAGGUUUCUGGUUUUUGUCCUUUCUGUUUGUGGAUGUCCAGGACCAUACCCUCUACCUGAAGACGUUUGACAAAUGUCUAACAGUUGGGGAGACCUCAUCUCUCCAAAUGGCGACGUGCGAUGGAAAUUUGAAUCAAAGAUGGAUGUUCGAGAAAUCUAAAUUUGAAAACCAACGCGUUCUCAGGAAUUACAGAUAAACCGUCA